GACGUAGGGAGCGAGCGUUGUCCGGAUUAAUUGGGCGUAAAGAGCGCGUAGGCGGUUUGGUAAGUCGGAUGUGAAAAUCCGUGGGCUCAAUCCCGGACCUGCAUCCGAAACUGCCCGACUAGAGGUAGGUAGGGGAGAUCGGAAUUCCUGGUGUAGCGGUGAAAUGCGCAGAUAUCAGGAGGAACACCGGUGGCGAAGGCGGAUCUCUGGGCCUUACCUGACGCUGAGGCGCGAAAGCUAGGGGAGCGAACAGG
Molecule: ribosomal RNA, 254 nt
Filed under: uncultured bacterium
Lineage: Bacteria
Description: partial 16S ribosomal RNA
Rfam family: Bacterial small subunit ribosomal RNA
Source: RNAcentral